Molecule: ribosomal RNA, 468 nt
Filed under: uncultured bacterium
Lineage: Bacteria
Description: partial 16S ribosomal RNA
Rfam family: Bacterial small subunit ribosomal RNA
Source: RNAcentral
GACGAACGCUGGCGGUGUGCCUAACACAUGCAAGUCGAACGGAAAGGCCCUGCUUUCGUGCUCUGCUCGAGUGGCGAACGGGUGCGUAACACGUGAGUAACCUGCUCUAGACUUUGGUGUAACUUCAGGAAACUGGGGCUAAUACCGGAUAGGAGCCCCCGUUGGAUGGUGGGGGUUGGAUCUUUUUGGCGGUUGGGGUUGGACGCGCGGGUUAUGGGCUUGUUGGUUGGGUGGGGGUUUACCAAGUAUUUGACGGGUCCCCGACAUGUGUGGGUGAACGGGCACCUUGGGACUGCGAUACGGCCCAGACUGCUACGGUGGGCAGCGGGCGGGAGUAUUGCACAAUGGGCGCAAGCCUGAGGCAGCAACGCUGCGGGCGGAAUGACGGCCUGCGGGUAGAGAACCGCAUCCGCCUGUGACGAAGCUUUAGUGACGGUAAUGAGAGAAGAAGCACCGGCUAACUACGUG